Molecule: ribosomal RNA, 253 nt
Filed under: uncultured bacterium
Lineage: Bacteria
Description: partial 16S ribosomal RNA
Rfam family: Bacterial small subunit ribosomal RNA
Source: RNAcentral
AACGUAGGACGCAAGCGUUAUCCGGAGUUACUGGGCGUAAAGCGCGGGCAGGCGGCCUCGCAAGUCUGAUGUGAAAGCACUCGGCUCAACCGAGUGAUGCCAUUGGAAACUACAAGGCUGGAGUCUGGCAGAGGUAGGCGGAAUUCCGGGUGGAGUGGUGAAAUGUGUAGAGAUCGGGAGGAACACCGGUGGCGAAGGCGGGUCUCUGGGCAAUUCCUGACGCUGAGGCGCGAAAGCGUGGGGAGCAAACGGG